This 73-nucleotide transfer RNA is filed under the name Podarcis lilfordi (Lilford's wall lizard). Its description in RNAcentral is "tRNA.Lys". The stretch from base 8 to 65 matches the Rfam family "tRNA", at positions 8 to 63 of the family's 71-position model. From Rfam's summary of the family: Transfer RNA (tRNA) molecules are approximately 80 nucleotides in length. Their secondary structure includes four short double-helical elements and three loops (D, anti-codon, and T loops). Lineage: Eukaryota; Metazoa; Chordata; Lepidosauria; Squamata; Lacertidae. The record is from RNAcentral.
UGCUGAAUAGCUCAGUCAAUAGAGCAUGAGACUCUUAAUCUCAGGGUUGUGAGUUUGAGCCCCACACUGGUGG